UCUUCUACCUCUAUACAAUUAAA
This 23-nucleotide non-coding RNA is filed under the name Gossypium hirsutum (cotton). The record is from RNAcentral. Lineage: Eukaryota; Viridiplantae; Streptophyta; Magnoliopsida; Malvales; Malvaceae.